GCCCAUAGCUCAACUGGAUAGAGUGUUUGACUACGGAUCCAAAGGCUAGGGGUUCGACACCUCUUGGGCGCG
This 72-nucleotide transfer RNA is filed under the name Enterococcus lactis. RNAcentral's name for it is "tRNA-Arg". It matches the Rfam family "tRNA". Rfam says of the family: Transfer RNA (tRNA) molecules are approximately 80 nucleotides in length. Their secondary structure includes four short double-helical elements and three loops (D, anti-codon, and T loops). The record is from RNAcentral. Lineage: Bacteria; Bacillati; Bacillota; Bacilli; Lactobacillales; Enterococcaceae.